RNAcentral lists this long non-coding RNA (619 nucleotides) under Fukomys damarensis (Damara mole-rat). RNAcentral's name for it is "lncRNA (ENSFDAG00000025020.1)". The record is from RNAcentral. Lineage: Eukaryota; Metazoa; Chordata; Mammalia; Rodentia; Bathyergidae.
CUUUGCCAUGUGGCCUGUCGGAGUUCAGCAGCAAUGUGGCGGCCAGCUUUCCCCAGAGUGAGCGUGAAACUGCAGGCCCAAGGAGGAAGCCACCGCCUAGGUAACUUAACCUUGUGACAGCUCAUUACCUUUGCCUCUUCCUGUUUGCUAGAAACAAAUCCCAAGUCCAGUCCUGGCUCAAGGGGUGGAGAUUCUUCAUCAAUACCUCGGGAAGGCCACUGAGUGAUCAAAUCAAUCCAUUUUUGAGCUGUGCUUUAGUUUGCCAAAGACUGGAGACGGAUGAGAAGUUAUGAGGGUGCGGCAGAGACAUUUGAGCUUUGUUUUGGAAUCUUUCAAGACCAGAGUACAACGGGAUAUGUUUUGGAGAACACAGAUCUUAGUUCUGCAUGAUCUCUUCCAAGCCACAGCAACGGGGCUCUGCAGGAGUCAUCCAGAUGAAGCUGUGACAAUGUGCCUUUCGUGUUCCUGUUUUUCUAUCCUGCCAGCCCACAUCCAUCUUCCCAGGGCAGCUCUCUGUCAGUCAGGAGGACAGUCCCCAGCCUCGGGACCCUCUGCAGAAGCUCCCUGGCCAAGCACUCCUAAGAGAAAAGCCAAGCCAGGGUAAGCCUGUGCAUAUGAG